GCGAAUAACAGGUGAGACCAGGAGUUGUGGCCAAACAAAAAGCUUUCACGGAUCUGUGCGAUGCCAGAGGCUACAAGGAGAUCGGGCAAUGCCAGUUUGUCGAUACACCUACCACUGACUUGGCAUUCAGCAAUCUGGAUGUAACAAAACCCGAGGCUCAAUAGACUGAAGCUUUAGACCUUUUGUAUUGGAAGUAUAUAUCAUUUCUGAAGAAAGUGUCCAUACGAAGAGCGGUCAUAUAAAAUAGGAAUUCGGACAGCGAUGGGCGGAGUGUAAUGAGAGAGUACAUGUAAAAGGGGCUUUAUUUAGGACUUAACCUGAAGAAUCCGAAGAAAUCUGUUUAAAGGCUUGGAGUGAAGUCGCCGUUCGGAACAGAAAAUAGUUUUGUGGAAACAGUGGGAACAAAAACCGGUUUUUAGUAACAUUGGGAAGAAGAAUCUUUAGAACAAAAAGCUGAUUCAUCAGCUGGAUCAGAAGGCUACCUUGAAGGCUCAGGAAAAAGAUUGGUCCUCGCAAGAAAAAGUCUCCUUGAACCAAAAGACGGUUUGAUGGGAGAAGGAAGUUUUCCUGGUCAUCAGCGUCACCACAAUUUAUACCAGUUAUAGUCUGAUAGCUGCGGAUCACAAGAAUUCAAGCAUGUCGAGGUUCGACACGAUCAGUUCCACGUCUCGGAAGCCGGUAAUAGUUCACGUCGAUUAUUGUUAUUCCUGACAGAACUAUGGAGGUAAAUUUACUGAUCUAAAACUGGCUGUGAUAGAGAAAUUUCCUCAUGCCGAUGUGUCGGGAACAUUCGGCGAAAAGGAUUCCUUUGAAGUGUUUGUUAAUGGACACUUGAUAUUUUCUCGCCUGUAUACCAACGCCUUUCCCGACCACGACAGCGUUAUAGAGCAGAUCAUGGACCUCACUACAGAUCAGGCAGCAAAGACCACGCGAUCGUCUAGCUGUAUUCUACUCUAGACGGAAGAAACCAGGCAAGACUGAACCAGAAACAGCCCACGGUACCAAGGUCACUCAAACCGAUGUUGGCAUCCUUUCAGGACGCUGGGGCAGUGUAGUUUAAAGUGAAUUUAGAGGGAUUCGGAUAUUUUCUCUAUGAAGUCAUACGGCAAAAGGGCAGUCUGGCGUAUGACAGAUGACAUGAAAAUAACCGAUCACCUUUGGGAUUUUUAAACAGCACUGGACAUGAAGCUAUAUAAAGUAUAUCUAUGAAACAACUUGUCUGUAAAGGUUAACCCAGAUCUGGAGAUUGCGACAUAUCUGCUUUCGUAUUCUUUAAUUAUCCUGAUAUUUAGUGUUUCUAAUCUUUUUUUAUACUGAUGUUCCUGGCAGGUCUACUGUCACAGGCCUAUCUCAAUUUGCUCAACAAAAGUGGAAUAUUUUAGUCUAUAUCAGUGGGAUCUGUUUCUUUAACCACUUCGAUGCGCCAAACAGUAAAUACCCUCUACAUAAUAUUAGCAUCGAAUCAUUCACCGAGAAGAUACCUUCACGAUGGUAUCAUGUAGAAUAGAGGCAUGAAUACCUGGCACCGCGUUCGUUACCUUAAAUCAAUAUCAGUAAAUAUAACAAAAAUAGGAAUGCAGAAAUGUCGAAUUAAAAUAUGGAGAGUUCAGCAUAACGAUACAUUACAAUAACCCUUUCUAAACUCGUGAACACAAUCGGAAGUAGGGACUGACACCUACUCCUACCUUGCCCGAUGAUGCUUCACUGUGAUUCUUGUUUAGGCAUGUUGAAAAAUGAAUUUGGCUCUUUGCGUCAGAUUCGUAUAACGGUUAACCACUCUAUUCAAAGAGUUUUCAUCGGAUUGCGCCAUGCAACUUUGGCCUACUUACUUUAGAUCAAGUUCGCGGCACGUCAGUAGGCCUAUAUUUAGUGACGGGCAACUAUAUCGGAUCGACUGGAUUUAUCUACAAAUGAACAUUUUCCCCAAUUUCCCCACAUAUUAAUUCAUCUUAAUAACUCGGUCACUGUAUGACCGUCAUACCCUGAUCAAUUCAAAGCGAAUUAUCUAUGAACUGACCAGUUGAAUACGCACACUUUGAAGCUCGCGAGUUUCCACGACAAUAAAGAGAUAUAGACUUGUCAGUGAUUGACUCCUGUGGCAUUGAAGUGAAGUGUGAAGUAAACCUGUCCCAUUUGGAAGCCUACGUUCUCUAAAAACGUGUAGCAGUCUAAUACUGAGCCUGCAUGUAUAAGUAUAUGCCUAUGUUUCAUUUGCAAUGAGUUCAUCAUCGUUUAUUUCCAUAUCACUGCAACCCAGUUACCAUUUACAUAACAAUCAUUCAACUUAAUGUGAUGAUAUAUACACAUGUAAUACAUGUUUUCACAGAGCCUUCACUCCGUAAAAUCAGUUUGCAAAACACGGAAUGAAGUUAUUCAUCAUUCAGUUUUGGCCUGUGCAUACGACUCUUUAUUCAAGAAGAACAAUAAAAAUAAUUUGACUGAUUGAGGUGUUUAUAGAACAUAGCUUUCAUUAUUAUUUUGGUCACAUUAACAAGGGGUUUCCUUGAUUGUAGCGGGUAUGGGUGUCUGCUGUAUGUUUAUUUACUGAUUGGUGUUUUUAAAACGUACUCAAGAAUAUUUCAUUUAUACAACGGCGGCCUGCAUUACGGUGGGAGGAAACCCGCCAGAGCCCAGGGGAAACCACGCGACCAUCCACGGGUUGAUGGCAGACAUUCCAACGUACCUUUAUCUCCCUGUGGCAGGGCAAGUCCAUGCCACCAAAGUGCUGCCACCACUGAAGUAUCAUGACGGGGACACUAUAUCUGACAACCCAUUCUGUCACACUAUACUGACACCAGGUCAAUCAGUCUAACCUUUGUUCUGACCU
This is a long non-coding RNA of Liolophura sinensis, 2827 nucleotides long. RefSeq lists it as uncharacterized. The record is from RefSeq and is a predicted model, not a curated record. NCBI's taxonomy places the organism in Eukaryota, Metazoa, Mollusca, Polyplacophora, Chitonida, Chitonidae. The transcript is spliced from 4 exons.